UGCCAGCCGCCGCGGUAACACGGGGGGCGCAAGCGUUAUUCGGAAUUAUUGGGCGUAAAGGGCGCGCAGGCGGUCUUGUCCGUCAGGUGUGAAAGCUCGGGGCUCAACCCCGGAAGUGCACUUGAAACUGUAUGGCUAGAGUCCCGGAGGGGGUGGCGGAAUUUCCGGUGUAGAGGUGAAAUUCGUAGAUAUCGGAAGGAACACCAGUGGCGAAGGCGGCCACCUGGACGGUGACUGACGCUGAGACGCGAAAGCGUGGGAGCAAACAGCAUUAGAUA
This 278-nucleotide ribosomal RNA is filed under the name uncultured bacterium. RNAcentral's name for it is "partial 16S ribosomal RNA". It matches the Rfam family "Bacterial small subunit ribosomal RNA", at positions 506 to 784 of the family's 1533-position model. The record is from RNAcentral.